RNAcentral lists this long non-coding RNA (1299 nucleotides) under Medicago truncatula (barrel medic). RNAcentral's name for it is "lncRNA gene5019". The record is from RNAcentral. Lineage: Eukaryota; Viridiplantae; Streptophyta; Magnoliopsida; Fabales; Fabaceae.
UUAUUAAAGAAGUGAUUAUCAACAAGUUGAGCAAUAAUACAUCAUCAUUACAAUAUUGGCCACGGGUUUAUCACAAUUCUGCCAAAAGUAUACAAUAUUGCAAUAUCCCUAACCAUAGAAUAAAAUGACAAAAAAAAGAUAGAGUAAGAAACAAGUAAAGAACCAAAACCAAAACUUGUCAAAUUUACACCUUGUCAUCAUUCUGACUCAGUUCCAAUUCCACCUCAUUAAUCUGUGUUACCCUUCUUCUACAUAGAGAAAUCAUGAAAAUCCACAUAAGACCUUUCACAAUCCUCACCAUACCAAUUGUAACAGUUAAAUAAUACAACCACCAACCAACAAAUUCUUCUAUUCCCACCUCCAUCAUUUCAUCUUUCUUUGUUUCAGCCAUAACACCUAAAUUCUCAACUUCCUCUCUCAACUUCCACCACCACAAUGUUCCUAAACUACCUGCCACAACCACUUUCUCAAUCCAUAAUCUUUCUGUUUUUCCAACACCAAAUAUAGUGUCAUCAACCACUGGUCUCACAACAACUCUUGACCAAAUUUGUGUUGUUUCAUGUAGUCCCAAAAGAAAUAUCAUUCUACUUAUGAAGCUUCUUUCAACACCAAAACUACUAGAACCAUCAUCAAAAACAUCGUUGUCGGAGUCGAAAACUCCAGCUGCAAUGCUUGCUUCAAUUCCUAAACCAACACAUAUUUGAAAAGUGAAAAGAAGAAUCCAUUUCCAUGACAUGUAAAGACGAGUUUGGAGAAGAAUAGAAUUGGAUGAAUCAUUCAUAAGGUUGAUUUUUCCCAUCAAACCAUUGAUCAAAGUAGCUACACUUACAAUGGAGACAAGAACGUAGAGAAUACAUGGGGAGGUGUGUAUAGCAAAAGAGAAAAGAUAAGGUAAGGGUUGUUGUGAAUGAAUUUGAAGGUAGAAUUUUGCACCAGAGAGACUAGCUAAGAGAAGAAAAGAUAGAGGGAGGAGAAGGGUGAGGAUUGUGAUGGUGAGGAGGUGGAAAAUCCUUGUAGGGGUGUAGAUAGCAAUAUAGUUGAAGAAGAACUCUUUGGAUUUUUUCUGCCAAUCCAUUUUGUGUAGAAUGAAAACAAUUAGUGUUGAAUUGAAGAAACACGUUGUUCUUUAUUUACAAGCUAAGGGAAGUUCAAGAUUAAGUAAAGGUGUUUCUUUAUGUAUGUGACUUGACAACUAUUUUUUAUGAAAUGAAAUUUAAUAAGUGGUUACCACGUCCAUUGGUUACUUAGUUGACAUUUUAUAGGACAUGGUGUUGAUUCUUUAUAUCUCUAUAAUAAUAG